AUACGGAGGAUGCGAGCGUUAUCCGGAUUUAUUGGGUUUAAAGGGAGCGUAGGUGGGAUAUUAAGUCAGCUGUGAAAGUUUGGGGCUCAACCUUAAAAUUGCAGUUGAUACUGGUUUCCUUGAGUACGGUACAGGUGGGCGGAAUUCGUGGUGUAGCGGUGAAAUGCUUAGAUAUCACGAAGAACUCCGGUCGCGAAGGCAGCUCACCGGGCCGGAACUGACACUGAUGCUCGAAAGUGCGGGUAUCAAACAGGAUUAGAUACCCUGGUAGUCCGCACAGUAAACGAUGAAUACUCGCUGUUUGCGAUACACGGUAAGCGGCCAAGCGAAAGCGUUAAGUAUUCCACCUGGGGAGUACGCCGGCAACGGUGAAACUCAAAUGAAUUGACGGGG
Molecule: ribosomal RNA, 393 nt
Filed under: uncultured bacterium
Lineage: Bacteria
Description: partial 16S ribosomal RNA
Rfam family: Bacterial small subunit ribosomal RNA
Source: RNAcentral